GGAAUAUCGUCAUGGUGAUUCGUCACCAUGAGGCUAGAUCUCAUAUCUAGCGCUUUCGAGCGCUAGAGUCCUUAUCUAGCCGGUUUAUACUUUCGAGUGUGAACCCGAUAUUCCGCGGAUCACUAUGAGUCGUUCGCGGCUCAUAGUCCGGCUCAAAGGACAUCAUGGCCUGUUCGCAGGUUGUGAUUAUGAGUGAGCCGGGUAAGGCAUACCGUUCGCGGUAUGUCUUACGAUCCGC
Molecule: unclassified non-coding RNA, 238 nt
Filed under: synthetic construct
Also listed under: 1 other name
Description: RNA Paranemic croosover triangle (PXT) from synthetic construct (PDB 8BTZ, chain A)
Source: RNAcentral